This 201-nucleotide unclassified non-coding RNA is filed under the name uncultured Psathyrella. RNAcentral describes it as "sequence contains ITS2". Lineage: Eukaryota; Fungi; Basidiomycota; Agaricomycetes; Agaricales; Psathyrellaceae. The record is from RNAcentral.
AAUUCUCAACCUCAUCAGUUUUGUUAUGAGACUGUGUGAGGCUUGGAUGUGGGGGUUGUGCAGAACGCUUUCGAGCAGACUGCUCCCCUUAAAAAUAUUAGCGAGUUCAAACUGGGCUCCGUCUAUUGGUGUGAUAAUUAUCUACGCCGUGGAUGGGGCUUAGACUUGCUUCUAACCGUCCGCAAGGACAAUCUUUUGACA